GCUUUCACUUUUUUAUGUAAUAUAUAUAUAUGUUUUCUUUUUAAAAUAAAAUCUGCGUGGUACGAGUUUUCUAGAAUCUACUCGUAAGAAAAUAGUAAACAAUCAUUUGUUAGGAUCGAAGUUUCAAUUUGCUCAUAUGGCACAGGAUAAAACACUUGUAUUUUCAAAAUUUACACCCCAGUUCUAUUGUUAUACUUCAUGACUAUUAUUUCUGAAACAAAAUACACCUCAGUUAUAUUGUUAUACUUUAAUAAUUCUUAUAUGAUUUGCAUACUAGGGAACACGUUUAUAUGAUUGGUCGAGAGGAAUUCCGGUAGUUGAUCUAGACGUUGGUUAUUUUUCGAUAGACGACGUUGACCGAACUUCUUUGCGUAACCAAUGUAAACAAGAUGGCAACGAUAAUAACACCGACGUUAACAAAAUUUAUUUUCACUGCACGUUAAUCUGUGAAUAAAAUAAUACACAAACACAUUCGUUUGAAUGAUAAUAAGAGUUUUGCAGUUUACUUUUUAUCAGAUAGAAUAUUUCAUUGAGUACACAUGUUUGCG
Molecule: long non-coding RNA, 548 nt
Filed under: Mytilus galloprovincialis (Mediterranean mussel)
Lineage: Eukaryota; Metazoa; Mollusca; Bivalvia; Mytilida; Mytilidae
Source: RNAcentral